UGGAGAGUUUGAUCCUGGCUCAGGACGAACGCUGGCGGCGUGCCUAAUACAUGCAAGUCGAGCGGACUUGAUGGAGUGCUUGCACUCCUGAGAGUUAGCGGCGGACGGGUGAGUAACACGUAGGCAACCUGCCCUCRAGACUGGGAUAACUACCGGAAACGGUAGCUAAUACCGGAUAAUUUAUUUCRCAGCAUUGUGGAAUAAUGAAAGACGGAGCAAUCUGUCACUUGGGGAUGGGCCUGCGGCGCAUUAGCUAGUUGGUGGGGUAAYGGCUCACCAAGGCGACGAUGCGUAGCCGACCUGAGAGGGUGAACGGCCACACUGGGACUGAGACACGGCCCAGACUCCUACGGGAGGCAGCAGUAGGGAAUCUUCCGCAAUGGGCGAAAGCCUGACGGAGCAACGCCGCGUGAGUGAUGAAGGUUUUCGGAUCGUAAAGCUCUGUUGCCAAGGAAGAACGUCUUCUAGAGUAACUGCUAGGAGAGUGACGGUACUUGAGAAGAAAGCCCCGGCUAACUACGUGCCAGCAGCCGCGGUA
RNAcentral lists this ribosomal RNA (538 nucleotides) under Paenibacillus sp. 12712. RNAcentral's name for it is "bacterial SSU rRNA". It matches the Rfam family "Bacterial small subunit ribosomal RNA", at positions 1 to 522 of the family's 1533-position model. The record is from RNAcentral. Lineage: Bacteria; Bacillati; Bacillota; Bacilli; Caryophanales; Paenibacillaceae.